GCAACGAGGCAGCGCAGUGUGAGUUUUGAUCCUGGCUCAAGAAUGAACGCUGGCGGCAGGCCUAACACAUGCAAGUCGACGCGGGUAACAGGAACCACGCUUGCUUUUUCUCCUCACGAGUGGCGACGGGUGAGUAAUGUCUGGGAAUACUGCCUGAUGGAGGGGGAUAACUACUGGCAACGGUAGCUAAUACCGCAUAACGUCGGCAAGACCAAAUGAGGGGGCCUUUCGGGGCCUCUUGCCAUCAGGAUGUGCCCAGAUGGGAUUAGCUAGUAGGUGGGGUAACUGGCUCACCUAGGCGACGAUCCACUAGCUGGUCUGAGAGGAUGACCAGCCACACUGGAACUGAGACACGGUCCAAGACUCUCUACGGGAGGCAGCAGUGGGACUAUAUUGCACAAUGAGCGCUCUGCCCUGAUGCAUCCAUGCCAGGGUGUAUUGAAGAAGCCCUUCGGGUUGUAAAGUACUUUUCAGCGAGGAGGAGGGCUCGAAAGGGUAACACCUUCGCUCAUUGACGUUCCCGACAGAAGAAGCACCGUCUAACUCCUUGCCAACAGCCCCGGAAGUACGAAGGUCACAUGUGAAAAUUGGAAUUACUGGACGAAAAGCGCACGGAGCCUGGCUAGUUAAGUCAGAUGAUGAAAACCCCGGGCUCAACCUGGGAACUGCAUCUGAUACUGGCAAGCUUGAGUCUCGUAGAGGGGGGUAGAAUUCCAGGUGUAGCAGGUGAAAGGCCGUAGAGAUCUGGAGGAAUACCGGUGGCCGAAGGCGGCCCCCUGGACGAAGACUGACGCUCAGAGUGCCGAAAGCGUGGGGAGCAAACAGGAUUAGAUACCCUGGGAGUCCACGCCGGAAACGAAGUCGACUUGGAGGUUGUGCGCCUUGAGGCGCGGCUUCCGGAGCUAACGCGUUAAGUCGACCGCCUGGGGAGGACCGGCCGCAAGGUUAAAAACUCAAAUGAAUUGACGGGGGCCCGCACAAAGCGGCGGAAGCAUUGUGGUUUAAUACGAGGCAACGCGAAGAACCCUUACCUGGUCUUGACAUCCACGGAAGUUUUCAGAGAUGGAGAAUGUGCCUUCGGGAACCGUGAGACAGGUGCUGCAUGGCUGUCGUCAGCUCGUGUUGUGAAAUGUUGGGUUAAGUCCCGCAACGAGCGCAACCCUUAUCCUUUGUUGCCAGCGGUCCGGCCGGGAACUCAAAGGAGACUGCCAGUGAUAAACUGGAGGAAGGUGGGGAUGACGUCAAGUCAUCAUGGCCCUUACGACCAGGGCUACACACGUGCUACAAUGGCGCAUACAAAGAGAAGCGACCUCGCGAGAGCAAGCGGACCUCAUAAAGUGCGUCGUAGUCCGGAUUGGAGUCUGCAACUCGACUCCAUGAAGUCGGAAUCGCUAGUAAUCGUGGAUCAGAAUGCCACGGUGAAUACGUUCCCGGGCCUUGUACACACCGCCCGUCACACCAUGGGAGUGGGUUGCAAAAGAAGUAGGUAGCUUAACCUUCGGGAGGGCGCUUACCACUUUGUGAUUCAUGACUGGGGUGAAGUCGUAACAGUAR
This 1554-nucleotide ribosomal RNA is filed under the name uncultured Shigella sp. RNAcentral describes it as "partial 16S ribosomal RNA". It matches the Rfam family "Bacterial small subunit ribosomal RNA". The record is from RNAcentral. Lineage: Bacteria; Pseudomonadati; Pseudomonadota; Gammaproteobacteria; Enterobacterales; Enterobacteriaceae.